GAUGAAGAACGUAGCGAAAUGCGAUACGUAAUGUGAAUUGCAGAAUUCAGUGAAUCAUCGAAUCUUUGAACGCAUAUUGCGCUCUCUGGUAUUCCGGAGAGCAUGCUUGUUUGAGUAUCAGUAAACACCUCAACUUCCAUAUCUUUUUUUGAAAUGGGAGUUGGACUUGAGUGAUCCCAACGCUUUUCCUCACCGAAAAGUGGCGGGUUACUUGAAAUGCAGGUGCAGCUGGACUUUUCUCUGAGCUAUAAGCAUAUCUAUUUAGUCUGCCUAAAAAACAGAUUAUUACCUUUGCUGCAGCUAACAUAAAGGAGAUUAGUUCUUGUGCUGACUGAUGCAGGAUUCACAAAGACAGCUUCGGCCGACUUUGUAAACUCGAUCUCAAAUCAAGUAAGACUACCCGCUGAACUUAAGCAUAUCAAUGCGGAGGA
RNAcentral lists this unclassified non-coding RNA (431 nucleotides) under soil metagenome. RNAcentral's name for it is "partial contains 5.8S ribosomal RNA, internal transcribed spacer 2, and large subunit ribosomal RNA". The stretch from base 1 to 120 matches the Rfam family "5.8S ribosomal RNA", at positions 35 to 154 of the family's 154-position model. The record is from RNAcentral.